This 432-nucleotide long non-coding RNA is filed under the name Salmo salar (Atlantic salmon). Its description in RNAcentral is "lncRNA (ENSSSAG00000097617.1)". Lineage: Eukaryota; Metazoa; Chordata; Actinopteri; Salmoniformes; Salmonidae. The record is from RNAcentral.
GGAAAAGUAAGCCAGCUAGCAAGGCAUUGUUGUCAUUUUAUAAAAGGCGAUGAUAAGCAGAAAUAAGGGAGUACUAUCUCAUAGUAGUAUAUGAAAAAGAUACCUUCAUCCUCUCACAACACAGAAAGGCUUGAUUGAGAGAGAUGAGAAAGGGACUGGUACAGACGUAACUUCAAAAUCACCUAGCUUACGGCAGAAUGGCUUUCCACGACAUCUGGAUAAUGCUUACAGAGAGAAGAGGCUGGAAGAAAGGAGGCCCUACCAGAUGAUAAUCCUAUUUGCCACAUCUUCAGUUUAAGCCUACUGGAGAGUGUGUGCCCUCAGGCCUGGAAGGAAGCUAAAGUCAUUCCGCUACCCAAGAAUAGUAAAGCCCCCUUUACUGGCUCAAAUAGCCAACCAAUCAGCCUGUUACCAACCCUUAGUAAACUGCUG